Molecule: non-coding RNA, 480 nt
Organism: Peromyscus maniculatus bairdii (prairie deer mouse)
Lineage: Eukaryota; Metazoa; Chordata; Mammalia; Rodentia; Cricetidae
Source: RefSeq, a predicted model, not a curated record
GUUGUUUCUUUGACUGGAAGGAACCCCUCUGUUACAGACUCUGAGAGACUUGCAUCCCACGUGGCUGCCAGCCGAUGGACACCCAGUGUACAGGAUGUUCACUCAGGUCUCUCGCUGACCUUGAAGCUCAUCAAUCCGGCUAUACCGACUGCCCGAUGAACUCCAGCAAUUCUCCUGUGUCCACCUCCCCAGUGCUAGGGGGCUCAUUGUUACAGCAGCUGGCCGUUAGUGGGAACUUGGGAUCUGAACCCAGGUCUUCAUUCUCGCAUGGCUGGAACUUCAUUCCUUCAACAAUGGACAGUGACCUGGAACUGCCAAACUGCAGCCAUGCAGCAGCUUUUCCUGUUGGCUUUUAGUCAGAGAGAGUCCGGGAUGAAAACCAAAGCAGUGGUCUCCAGAGCCAGGUGGGCAAGGAGGAGGAGAGGCCAGGAGGACCUGGCCUCACUGCUGAAGUCCUGAAGGGCCUUGUGUGGGAGGGGC